RNAcentral lists this ribosomal RNA (465 nucleotides) under Vreelandella stevensii. Its description in RNAcentral is "partial 16S ribosomal RNA". It matches the Rfam family "Bacterial small subunit ribosomal RNA", at positions 338 to 795 of the family's 1533-position model. The record is from RNAcentral. Lineage: Bacteria; Pseudomonadati; Pseudomonadota; Gammaproteobacteria; Oceanospirillales; Halomonadaceae.
CCUACGGGGGGCUGCAGUGGGGAAUAUUGGACAAUGGGGGGAACCCUGAUCCAGCCAUGCCGCGUGUGUGAAGAAGGCCCUCGGGUUGUAAAGCACUUUCAGUGAGGAAGAACGCCUGGUGGUUAAUACCCAUCAGGAAAGACAUCACUCACAGAAGAAGCACCGGCUAACUCCGUGCCAGCAGCCGCGGUAAUACGGAGGGUGCGAGCGUUAAUCGGAAUUACUGGGCGUAAAGCGCGCGUAGGUGGCUUGAUAAGCCGGUUGUGAAAGCCCCGGGCUCAACCUGGGAACGGCAUCCGGAACUGUCAAGCUAGAGUGCAGGAGAGGAAGGUAGAAUUCCCGGUGUAGCGGUGAAAUGCGUAGAGAUCGGGAGGAAUACCAGUGGCGAAGGCGGCCUUCUGGACUGACACUGACACUGAGGUGCGAAAGCGUGGGUAGCAAACAGGAUUAGAUACCCUAGUAGGC